AUGCGGAGUGAGCAGGGUCGUGAGCGCCACGUUCUCCCGUCUGCGGCCCGGCGCCCCUCCCCGCCCGGCCGGCCCUGUCUCGGUUGUGCCAUCCAAGCCCUCUCAGCUGGGCUCCUGGCUGUGCAGGAUCCGUUUCCUCCCAGCCUCUGCAUCCCAGCGGCCCUGGAAUCCUCUGGCCGCGGCUUCCUGCCUCUCUCCAAGCAUCCUCGUGUUUUAUUCAUCGCCGGCGGUUUCAGCGUUCGCCUGUUUGAACCGGGGCUGAGCCACGCUUUCCUCGGCCUUGCAGGUCAGAGCGGGCGAGCCACGUCCCCGGGGCUGGGACGUCGGUUUCAGUCUGUUCUGCCGAUCAGCUCCUGCUUGGGGGAACCGUGUGUUCUUAAACCUCCUGGCAAGCAGCCAGCAUUGCGAACGGCUUUUGCGUCUGCUGGCUCGGAAUCACACACCGAGCCCGCCCUGAUCCCUCCCACCCCCGCUGCUCCCUGUUGGCUCCACCGUGCCUAUCCCAGGCUGUCGGGCUGGGGCCUGUGCUCCAGACCACCCACAGGUGAGGAGACGUCACUGCUGAGCCUUGGCGGGGUUCCUGGGUUGGAUGGGGCCGUGCGUGCUCCCGCGGGCAGACCCCCAGGUCAGCGGGGCCUGAACAAGAAAGCUCAACUCCCAGAGGCCUCCGGGAAAGUCAGGGAUCUCAAGCAAGCAACCCACCUUGGUUAGGAAGGCUGGGCCGCACUGCUCUAUCCCGCUCCAGCCCGCUGGAGCCCUGAGCCCAUGGCUGGGGCAGGCGGGCUGCCUGGCUUGGUCGGCUGGGCUUGGCCCCCAGGAGGGCCAGGCCGAGCUCAGCGGGCUGCCAGGGUCUGGCCAUGACAGUGCGGGCGGCCAGGCAAAAUGCGGAUCCCAGGG
Molecule: long non-coding RNA, 897 nt
Filed under: Oryctolagus cuniculus (rabbit)
Lineage: Eukaryota; Metazoa; Chordata; Mammalia; Lagomorpha; Leporidae
Description: lncRNA (ENSOCUG00000036672.1)
Source: RNAcentral